This 365-nucleotide long non-coding RNA is filed under the name Trifolium pratense (red clover). Its description in RNAcentral is "long non-coding RNA (TPRA_LNC012429)". The record is from RNAcentral. Lineage: Eukaryota; Viridiplantae; Streptophyta; Magnoliopsida; Fabales; Fabaceae.
UGAAUUAAAAGGAGUGCAAGGGGCACUCAACCCUUACAAAAAUUACGAAAACCAUUAGAUGCUUAGAAUGCAAGCUAAUGGAUCGUUACACCAAUCUGAGAAUACAAAGGAAGGAUUAAGUUCUAUUUGACCUACAAACCAAACCCAAGAAAUAAAAAUAAUUUGAUCAACAAGUAAGGCCAAAUUAAACACAUCUCCAUGAAACAUAAUGUUGUUUCGAGUUCGCCAUAUACUCCAAGUGGUUGCUAGCCAAAUGACAUGACGAGCUUUAGCAAGACUCUUACUCUUCACCAAAUCACCAAAAGUAGUGAAAUGCUUCCAAACUUCCUCAAAAGUUAUAAAAUUCACGUCCAGCCAUUCAUACA